GUCAAAGCUCCGGCGGUCAGAGAUGGACAUGCGUAACAUUAGCUUGUUGGUGAGGUUACGGCUCACCAAGGCUACGAUGUUUAGGGGGUCUGAGAGGAUGGUCCCCCACACUGGUACUGAGACACGGACCAGACUUCUACGGAAGGCAGCAGUGAGGAAUAUUGGUCAAUGGGCGAAAGCCUGAACCAGCCAUGCCGCGUGAAGGAGGGACAGCCCUACGGGUUGUAAACUUCUUUUGUACGGGAAGAAACACUUCUACGUGUAGAAGCUUGACGGUACCGUACGAAUAAGCAUCGGCUAACUCCGUGCCAGCAGCCGCGGUAAUACGGAGGAUGCAAGCGUUAUCCGGAUUCAUUGGGUUUAAAGGGUACGUAGGCGGAAGAUUAAGUCAGUGGUGAAAUCCUGCAGCUUAACUGUAGAACUGUCAUUGAUACUGAUCUUCUUGAAUAUAGUUGAGGUAGGCGGAAUGUGUAAUGUAGCGGUGAAAUGCUUAGAUAUUACACAGAACACCGAUUGCGAAGGCAGCUUACUAAACUAUGAUUGACGCUGAGGUACGAAAGCGUGGGGAGCGAACAGGAUUAGAUACCCUGGUAGUCCACGCUGUAAACGAUGAUCACUCGUUGUUGGCGAUAUAGUGUCAGCGACUGAGCGAAAGCAUUAAGUGAUCCACCUGGGGAGUACGAUCGCAAGAUUGAAACUCAAAGGAAUUGACGGGGGCCCGCACAAGCGGAGGAACAUGUGGUUUAAUUCGAUGAUACGCGAGGAACCUUACCUGGGCUUAAAUGUAGAACGACGGAUCGGGAAACUGAUCCUUCUUCGGACGGUCUGCAAGGUGCUGCAUGGCUGUCGUCAGCUCGUGCCGUGAGGUGUCGGGUUAAGUCCCAUAACGAGCGCAACCCUCAUCAUUAGUUGCCAGCGGGUAAUGCCGGGGACUCUAAUGAAACUGCCGGUGUAAACCGAGAGGAAGGUGGGGAUGACGUCAAGUCAGCACGGCCCUUAUGUCCAGGGCUACACACGUGUUACAAUGGUCGAUACAAAGGGCAGCUACCUGGUAACAGGAUGCUAAUCUCUAAAAUCGGUCUUAGUUCGGAUCGAAGUCUGCAACUCGACUUCGUAAAGCUGGAUUCGCUAGUAAUCGCGCAUCAGCCACGGCGCGGUGAUACGUUCCCGGGCCUUGUACACACCGCCCGUCAAGCCAUGGAAG
This 1204-nucleotide ribosomal RNA is filed under the name uncultured organism. RNAcentral describes it as "bacterial SSU rRNA". It matches the Rfam family "Bacterial small subunit ribosomal RNA", at positions 200 to 1410 of the family's 1533-position model. The record is from RNAcentral.